Molecule: transfer RNA, 77 nt
Filed under: Caudoviricetes sp.
Lineage: Duplodnaviria; Heunggongvirae; Uroviricota; Caudoviricetes
Description: tRNA-Met
Rfam family: tRNA
About the family: Transfer RNA (tRNA) molecules are approximately 80 nucleotides in length.
Source: RNAcentral
CCCCCUUUAGCUCAGUUGGUUAGAGCAGGCGACUCAUAAUCGCUUGGUCGCUGGUUCAAGUCCAGUAUGGGGGACCA